This is a non-coding RNA of Erinaceus europaeus (western European hedgehog), 112 nucleotides long. The record is from Rfam. NCBI's taxonomy places the organism in Eukaryota, Metazoa, Chordata, Mammalia, Eulipotyphla, Erinaceidae.
AUGUGCUCGCUUCGGAAACACAUAUACUAACUAAAACCAGAAUGAUACAGAGAGGAUUAACAUGGUCCCUGUACAAGGAUGACACACAAAUUCGAGGAUGUUCCAUUUUUUU